AGCCGUCGCGGUUAGACGAAGAAUCUAAAUAGAACAAUUGUUUACUAGUUACGUUGAUUUUUAAAGUAAUAUUUUCUUUUUUGUUGGGUGAAAUCAAAAUAAAAGGUGAUAACUUCUGUAAAAAUUUAAAGGAACUACAAAACUUAGGUUAAAAACCAGGAUUAGAUACCCUGUUAUUCUAAGCUAACCAAAAAUAGGGUAGUAAAAGUUGUUCUUCAAACCCAAAGAUUUUGGCGGCACUUUAUCCAAAUAGAGGAGCUUGCCCUGUAAUCGAUAGUCCUCGUUUUAUCUUGCCCUAUCUUGUUAAGCUUGUAUACCGCCGUUGUCAGAUUACUUUUGAAGAAUGUUUUCGAGAAAUAAAAUUUUUUAACUUCAGGUCAAGGUGCAGUUAAUGGUAGGGUAGAGGUGAGCUACAUUUUUUAUUAAAAACACGGAUCUUAAGUGUAAUUUUAAGGGAAGGUGGAUUUAUUAGUAAAUUAAUUUAAGUAUAAUUAGUUGAAUUAGGUAAUAAAGUGUGCACAUAUCGCCCGUCACUCUCUUCUCAAGAGGAGAUAAGUCGUAACAAA
This 566-nucleotide ribosomal RNA is filed under the name Daphnia sp. 3 DK-2019. RNAcentral's name for it is "partial small subunit ribosomal RNA". Lineage: Eukaryota; Metazoa; Arthropoda; Branchiopoda; Diplostraca; Daphniidae. The record is from RNAcentral.